This 253-nucleotide ribosomal RNA is filed under the name uncultured bacterium. RNAcentral describes it as "partial 16S ribosomal RNA". It matches the Rfam family "Bacterial small subunit ribosomal RNA", at positions 524 to 776 of the family's 1533-position model. The record is from RNAcentral.
UACGUAGGGUGCGAGCGUUAAUCGGAAUUACUGGGCGUAAAGCGUGCGCAGGCGGUUUCACAAGCUCGAUGUGAAAGCCCCGGGCUUAACCUGGGAAUGGCAUUGAGGACUGUGGAGCUCGAGUGCGGCAGAGGGAGGUGGAAUUCCACGUGUAGCAGUGAAAUGCGUAGAUAUGCGGAGGAACACCGAUGGCGAAGGCAAUCCCCUGGGCCUGCACUGACGCUCAUGCACGAAAGCGUGGGGAGCAAACAGG